AGCGAGUUAUUCUUUCCAAAUUUUUGGGAGCAGUUACUUUCUUACUCAUCUGUAGGUCCAUGUAGUUAGUUUUGUGCAAAAUCGUCUUGUGCUUCGAGCAAUAGCCGCCGAUUAUAGGUAUCUGGCGAAGAUCGGUUAGUUACUCUACAUCACUCAAAGUUUCUCUGUCUCUUUCUCUAACCUUGUGAGCUGCUGCUUGGCUUUCAAUAUUGUUGUACAUUGAGCGCUGAAAGCUCUUUCGACUGUGUUACUACCUCAACAGCUUUCUGAAAGAUCUCCUGUGGUAUUGAUCCUGGACCGUCUGUAUUUGGGAUGGUACAUCGUAUCCCGACUCAUACAGACCAGCAGAUGUACUCGUGUGGUUCACUGGCUCCCAAAUGAGGAGGGGAGGAUAUAUACACUCACACUAUCACGAGCCGUGGGAGAAGAGUGAGGGGUGAGAGUGUGUGCAUGUUGUGUGUGGAGAUGAGAUUGAGUGUGGUAUGGGGUAUGUUGAUGUGACAUGUGGAUUAGGUGCACUUUUGUAGAUGUGCUGUAUAGUAGGUAGAUAAAUGUGGUGUGGUCACUGUAUCAGCCAGUGACACAAGUGUUGUGUACAGCUUGUGAAUAUGUUGUGUAUUGUUCAUUGAGGUAGAGUACGUAUAGUAAUAAUGGUAGUUUUAACCCAUUGUACACCCCCUCCAGUUCCUUCUCCUGCUGGAGAGCUAAGUAGUGUAAGUGGGUGUGGUGACCGAAUGUCCUCCCUCCCCCCCUCUGUGCUGAGACACUACAACACAGACACUACCCUAAACACAUCAACCUUCUGGAGACACUGCUCAAACUGGAAAAUUUUGUUCUGAUCAACUACAUUUCACCUGGUCUCUCCCUGCACAUCAAGCUCCCAGGAUUCUCCACCCACUCUCCCCUACCCCACACAUCAGUGCAUGUGCUGGUCUUCACAUCAAAGGGGAACAGUCCCUCGUCACAGCGAUAGGUGACCUCUGAACCCAGUGAGAAGAGUGGUGUCCCACCACUGAUGUCCACACUACCUCUGGAUGGUGCAUUAGGAGAGCCACAGGUGACUGGGGGAUCUAAUAAGGACACCAAUGAAAAGAAGCAUGUACAAAUUUAUGAUUAAGAUUAUAUACCUGUAAUCGGACUGCUGCAGUCAAAGGUCCCAGGGUCAGGAGACCAUCCACUACUGCCACAUGUUGAGGUUCUCACUUCAUUGUCUCCACUGUAAGUGAAGGUGAGCAUAGAUCCACCAAUAGUGACAGGAGGUGUGUUGGUGAUGGUCACACCAGCAGCAGUAGACGGUGUGGGGCACACAACUGUAAGAGAAGGAGCACAGAUAUAUAAUGUACAUGACGUUUAAUGAGCUUAUACUCAGAUUUACAAUUCUAGUUUCAUUCAUUCCAGCACAGUUGUCAGCUCUGAUAGUCACAUUGUAUAUAAUGUUGUGUAGGAGACAGUGAUUUGUGCUAAGGUGGUGUCCACAGUGACUGGUGACCCGGAGAGAGAUGUUGGGGAGAUGAUGAGGGCAUACCUGAUAGACACACCACUAGUAGAGGAGGGAGCCUCCCAGUCCAGAGUGAUAUCAGAGGAACUGGGUUGAUUUAGAGUGGAGGGUAUUCUUGGGUUUAGUGGAGAGGUUGGAUUACCUGUGUGUGACAUCAAUAAGAGACUGUGCUAGAUUAGUAAAGAUAGCUCCUCAUCAGCAACCAAUAUUGUCUGCUGUAGUUCAACAACUGUAAUACCAUUUAAAGUGCAGGUCACAAUGCUUCCAUCCAGUACAGACACUUCACUGAGGUUGAUGAGAGUAGAAGUCAGGUUUACUCCGUCACUGCUCACAAGAACAGCCUCAAACAUGAUCACUCUAAACCCAAAUGUGUCCCUUCGACCAACUAGAGAGGCCAAUGAAGGGUGUACUUUGCAUAGUCAUUAACCCAGACUCUGCUGGAGGUUCGACUUGCCAUCUCAGUACACUAGACAUAUCACCAGGCACAGAGCAUGUGAACAGAACUGCCUCUCCAGGACAUGCAGCACUGCUGUUGGACACCAGAGAGGCCUCUGUUGAAGUUAACGUGGAUCUUUACCGUCUGUUUUGUGAAGGAUGAAGAGUUGCUGGAGCUGGCGGAUCAUCUCAAUGAGAUCUCUCAGAAACUCUUGACUAUUUGUGAGGCUGGUGAGUAUGCAGUCACUGUUAGAAGCAUAGAUUAUUAAAGGGAUUAGAAACAGAAGCGGAUCACGUGCUAACAUACAUAGACUUGAUGCUUGUGAUUAGAAUGCCCUUGAUCUCAUCUGUGUUUCACUUUUUAAUUAGUGGAAACGAUAGCGUUGACUUAAAACUCUGCUAUAAGAGACGAUCAUUCAGGCAUUCAGGCAGGUAUUGUACCAGUGCUUUGUGCUGUUAUUGGGAGGUAAGUGCGUCUUAUAACAGCAUCAGGUUUUAAGCACUACAUCUCCUUUAGCUGGAUUAAGAUUGGCUGGCAGAAAAUUGCCCCCUCUGGAUCUCACCCAAGACACAAAACAUGGUAUUUGGGGUUUUACUCUGACUUGCAUCCAAAGGUCCUCUAUAUAACAUCAAUACAGCACCUCUAACAACGCUACUCGCCCUCACAGACACUAUAUAGUGACUGGUUCUAGUCUGUUGCAAUUAAUUUUCUUCAUGUCAGUGGGGUAGGCAGAGGGGACUGACGGGGCUAGCUUGAAACUGUAAUCUGUCGAUCUAUUCUGCAGUACUGUAUGCGCAUAGUUACUAGAAUGAUGUCAUGUAAUGGAUAUGUGGGCAGGGCCAUCUGAUGCGCAUGCUUACUGCUGAGGAAAAGUGAUGACCUUUUUUUAGUGAAUAAGUUUCAGCGUCUAUGCUUCAAUAAUUUGAGCCCUGCCCUUCCCAAUCCAAAAUUCAAAAUCCUGGCUACACCACUGCAUGUAAAAUAACAGCCUCGGUUAAACCACGGGGAAACAUGGAUUGUACCGCUUCCAUUUCCAAUCCCUUUCCUUUAUCUAUGUUGGAAGUGAUUGGCAUGUUAGUGGUAAUGAGUAUACUAAAAGUGAGACGGUGUACAAUCCAUUCAUUCUAACAUACAUGUACUUUGGUACAUACUUCUUCGAUAUACAAAAGACCUGCAUGGAAGUUCCCUUUAUCAAGCAUGAGACAUUUUAUUCUCUG
This is a long non-coding RNA of Halichondria panicea, 3151 nucleotides long. RefSeq lists it as uncharacterized. The record is from RefSeq and is a predicted model, not a curated record. The transcript is spliced from 4 exons. NCBI's taxonomy places the organism in Eukaryota, Metazoa, Porifera, Demospongiae, Suberitida, Halichondriidae.